Molecule: transfer RNA, 65 nt
Filed under: Graphium antiphates (fivebar swordtail)
Lineage: Eukaryota; Metazoa; Arthropoda; Insecta; Lepidoptera; Papilionidae
Also listed under: 2 other names
Description: tRNA-Thr
Rfam family: tRNA
About the family: Transfer RNA (tRNA) molecules are approximately 80 nucleotides in length.
Source: RNAcentral
GUUUUUAUAGUUUAAAAUAAAACAUUGGUCUUGUAAAUCAAAAAUAAAUUAUUAUUUUAAAAACU